CAGUCGCCGCGGGAAUACGAAGGGGGCUAGCGUUAAUCGGAAUUACUGGGCGUAAAACGCGCGCAGGCGGUUCGUUAAGACAGAUGUGAAAUCCCCGGGCUUAACCUGGGAGCUGCAUUUGUGACUGGCAAGCUAGAGUAUGGCAGAGGGUGGUGGAAUUCCACGUGUAGCAGUGAAAUGCGUAGAGAUGUGGAGGAACACCGAUGGCGAAGGCAGCCCCCUGGGCCAAUACUGACGCUCAUGCACGAAAGCGUGGGGAGCAAACAGGAUUAGAUACCCGCGUAGUCCCUGUCUCUUAUAC
This 301-nucleotide ribosomal RNA is filed under the name uncultured bacterium. Its description in RNAcentral is "partial 16S ribosomal RNA". It matches the Rfam family "Bacterial small subunit ribosomal RNA", at positions 509 to 807 of the family's 1533-position model. The record is from RNAcentral.